Molecule: ribosomal RNA, 424 nt
Filed under: uncultured bacterium
Lineage: Bacteria
Description: partial 16S ribosomal RNA
Rfam family: Bacterial small subunit ribosomal RNA
Source: RNAcentral
AAUAUUGGACAAUGGGGGCAACCCUGAUCCAGCCAUGCCGCGUGUGUGACGAAGGUCUUCGUAUUGUAAAGCACUUUAAGUUGGGAGGAAGGGUUGUGGAUUAAUACUCUACAAUUUUGACGUUACCGACAGAAUAAGCACCGGCUAUCUCUGUUCCAGCAUCCUCGGUAAUACAGAGGGUGCAAGCGUUAAUCGGAAUUACUGGGCGUAAAGCGAGCGUAGGUGGUUCGUUAAGUUGGUAGUGAAUGCCGUGGGCUUAACCUGGGAAUUGCUUUCAAAACUGACGAGCUAGAGUACGGUAGAGGGUAGUGGAAUUUCCUGUGGAGCGGUUAAAUGCGUAGAUAUAGGAAGGAACAUCAGUGGCGAAGGCGACUACCUGGACUGAUACUGACACUGAGGUGCGAAAGCGUGGGGAGCAAACAGG